RNAcentral lists this transfer RNA (89 nucleotides) under Acidobacteriota bacterium. RNAcentral describes it as "Acidobacteria bacterium (groundwater metagenome) tRNA-Leu". It matches the Rfam family "tRNA". From Rfam's summary of the family: Transfer RNA (tRNA) molecules are approximately 80 nucleotides in length. Their secondary structure includes four short double-helical elements and three loops (D, anti-codon, and T loops). Further hydrogen bonds mediate the characteristic L-shaped molecular structure. tRNAs have two regions of fundamental functional importance: the anti-codon, which is responsible for specific mRNA codon recognition, and the 3' end, to which the tRNAs corresponding amino acid is attached (by aminoacyl-tRNA synthetases). tRNAs cope with the degeneracy of the genetic code in two manners: having more than one tRNA (with a specific anti-codon) for a particular amino acid; and 'wobble' base-pairing, i.e. permitting non-standard base-pairing at the 3rd anti-codon position. RNAcentral also lists the same sequence under 1 other name. Lineage: Bacteria; Pseudomonadati; Acidobacteriota. The record is from RNAcentral.
GCCCGGAUGGCGAAACUGGCAGACGCACGGGACUUAAAAUCCCGGGUCCUUAACAGGACGUGACGGUUCAAUUCCGUCUCCGGGCACCA